Molecule: small nuclear RNA, 103 nt
Organism: Sarcophilus harrisii (Tasmanian devil)
Lineage: Eukaryota; Metazoa; Chordata; Mammalia; Dasyuromorphia; Dasyuridae
Source: Ensembl
AAGCACUGAGGAGCUCUCAAACUAAAAUUAAGUACACAGGAGCAGAUUAGCGUAACCCCAGUGCAAGGAUGACACUCAGAUAUGUGAAGUGUUCCAUAGUUUU